RNAcentral lists this ribosomal RNA (428 nucleotides) under Lactiplantibacillus plantarum. RNAcentral describes it as "bacterial SSU rRNA". It matches the Rfam family "Bacterial small subunit ribosomal RNA", at positions 378 to 797 of the family's 1533-position model. The record is from RNAcentral. Lineage: Bacteria; Bacillati; Bacillota; Bacilli; Lactobacillales; Lactobacillaceae.
AAAGUCUGAUGGAGCAACGCCGCGUGAGUGAAGAAGGGUUUCGGCUCGUAAAACUCUGUUGUUGAAGAAGAACAUAUCUGAGAGUAACUGUUCAGGUAUUGACGGUAUUUAACCAGAAAGCCACGGCUAACUACGUGCCAGCAGCCGCGGUAAUACGUAGGUGGCAAGCGUUGUCCGGAUUUAUUGGGCGUAAAGCGAGCGCAGGCGGUUUUUUAAGUCUGAUGUGAAAGCCUUCGGCUCAACCGAAGAAGUGCAUCGGAAACUGGGAAACUUGAGUGCAGAAGAGGACAGUGGAACUCCAUGUGUAGCGGUGAAAUGCGUAGAUAUAUGGAAGAACACCAGUGGCGAAGGCGGCUGUCUGGUCUGUAACUGACGCUGAGGCUCGAAAGUAUGGGUAGCAAACAGGAUUAGAUACCCUUAGUAGUCAA